This 497-nucleotide ribosomal RNA is filed under the name uncultured bacterium. RNAcentral's name for it is "partial 16S ribosomal RNA". It matches the Rfam family "Bacterial small subunit ribosomal RNA", at positions 29 to 507 of the family's 1533-position model. The record is from RNAcentral.
ACGAACGCUGGCGGCGUGCCUAAUACAUGCAAGUCGAACGAGAGCGACCGGUGCUUGCACUGGUCAAUCUAGUGGCGAACGGGUGAGUAACACGUGGGUAACCUGCCCAUCAGAGGGGGAUAACAUCCGGAAACGGAUGCUAAAACCGCAUAGGUCUUCGAGCCGCAUGGCUUGAAGAGGAAAAGAGGCGCAAGCUUCUGCUGAUGGAUGGACCCGCGGUGCAUUAGCUAGUUGGUGGGGUAACGGCUCACCAAGGCCGUGAUGCAUAGCCGACCUGAGAGGGUGAUCGGCCACAUUGGGACUGAGACACGGCCCAAACUCCUACGGGAGGCAGCAGUAGGGAAUCUUCCGCAAUGGACGCAAGUCUGACGGAGCAACGCCGCGUGAGUGAAGAAGGUUUUCGGAUCGUAAAACUCUGUUGUUAGAGAAGAACAAGUGCUAGAGUAACUGUUAGCGCCUUGACGGUAUCUAACCAGAAAGCCACGGCUAACUACGUG